RNAcentral lists this long non-coding RNA (242 nucleotides) under Elaeis guineensis (African oil palm). Its description in RNAcentral is "long non-coding RNA (EGUI_LNC032674)". Lineage: Eukaryota; Viridiplantae; Streptophyta; Magnoliopsida; Arecales; Arecaceae. The record is from RNAcentral.
AUCUUGUAAGUUGCAUUAGUGAUACGUUAUUUAUUUACUUAUAAAUAAUAUUAUUUGAAUUAAUAUAAUUUUUUAUCUUAUGAUGUAGAUGAAACAUAAGUAUUUCAAUAAAGAAGUAGGUGCAACCGAUGAGUUGCAUGAUUUAGUAUGUGGUUCCGAUCGAAGGGUUAAUCACUAUACAUCCUGUAUCAUUAGAAAAAUGAGAUUUUACACAAGAGAGUUUGAGAUACAACGAUGGACCC